GUCUACGGUCAUACCACCCUGAACGCACCUGAUCUCAUCUGAUCUUGGAAGCUAAGCAGAGUCAGGACUGGUUAGUACUUGGAUGGGAGAAAUGCCCUAUGAUAAUUACUGUCUUAGAAC
This 120-nucleotide ribosomal RNA is filed under the name Felis catus (domestic cat). Lineage: Eukaryota; Metazoa; Chordata; Mammalia; Carnivora; Felidae. The record is from RNAcentral.